This 433-nucleotide ribosomal RNA is filed under the name uncultured bacterium. Its description in RNAcentral is "partial 16S ribosomal RNA". It matches the Rfam family "Bacterial small subunit ribosomal RNA", at positions 29 to 507 of the family's 1533-position model. The record is from RNAcentral.
AACGAACGCUGGCGGCAUGCCUAACACAUGCAAGUCGAACGAGACCUUCGGGUCUAGUGGCGCACGGGUGCGUAACGCGUGGGAACCUGCCCUUAGGUUCGGAAUAACUCCCCGAAAGGGGUGCUAAUACCGGAUAAUGUCUUCGGACCAAAGAUUUAUCGCCUUUGGAUGGGCCCGCGUUGGAUUAGCUAGUUGGUAGGGUAAAAGCCUACCAAGGCGACGAUCCAUAGCUGGUCUGAGAGGAUGAUCAGCCACACUGGGACUGAGACACGGCCCAGACUCCUACGGGAGGCAGCAGUGGGGAAGAUUGGACAAUGGGCGAAAGCCUGAUCCAGCAAUGCCGCGUGAGUGAUGAAGGCCUUAGGGUUGUAAAGCUCUUUUACCCGGGAUGAUAAUGACAGUACCGGGAGAAUAAGCCCCGGCUAACUCCGUG